This is a non-coding RNA of Planctomycetes bacterium RBG_16_55_9, 72 nucleotides long. Lineage: Bacteria; Pseudomonadati; Planctomycetota. The record is from Rfam.
GCCAACGUAGCUCAACGGCAGAGCUCUGGUUUUGUAAACCAGUGGUUGUCGGUUCGAAUCCGACCGUUGGCU